Molecule: long non-coding RNA, 1383 nt
Filed under: Sarcophilus harrisii (Tasmanian devil)
Lineage: Eukaryota; Metazoa; Chordata; Mammalia; Dasyuromorphia; Dasyuridae
Description: lncRNA (ENSSHAG00000027164.1)
Source: RNAcentral
ACGAGGAGGCGGCCGAGAGGGGGGCGGGGGAGUGGCCUCCCCCGACCGGGCGGCCCCAGCGCUCCGGAGCGUGCGGCCCACCCCCUAGCUCCCCCGGCCGCGGGGCGCUCACUUUCUGCCCUUGGGCACCUUGGGCACGCUGGGCUUGGCCGACUUCUUCACUUUCUUGCCCCCGGCCGCGGAGGCCUUCUUGGCCGCUUUCUUGGGCUUGCCUUUGUCCUUCUUGCCGCCGCUCGCGCCCUUCUUGUGGGAGCGCUUCUCGGGCUUCUUGGCCUUGGCCGGCUUCUUGUCGCCGCGCCGCGCCGGGGCCGCCGCCGCGGCCGCCGCCUUCUUGGCCUUUUGCUGAGAGGCGGCCGCGCCCGCGCCCUUCUUGUCGCCGCCGCCGCCCUCCAGCUUCUUCUUGUUGAGCUUGAAGGAGCCGUUGGCACCGGUGCCCUUCACCUGCAGCAGCGUGUCGUUCUGCACCAGGGCCUUGAUGGAGUACUUGAGGUAGGUGCGCCCGUUCUGCUGGUCGAACCAGGGCACCUUCUUGGCCUCGUUGUAGAUCUUGGCCAGCGACGAGCCAUUGCGUUCGCCCAGCUUGCGGAUCGUCUCCACCACCAGCUGGCUGUACUUGCCCGGCUGGUUCUUCUUCUUGUUGUUCUUCUUCUUCUUGGAGGGCGACAGCGACGACGAGCCCGCCUUGGCCUUCUUGCUGGCCGGCUUUUUCUCGGGGGUGCCGGGAGCCUCCUCGGCCGGGGUCAGCGGCAGCGCCUCUUCCAGCUCCACGGACAUGGUGGCGAGCGGGUUGGCGGCCGGCGGCGCGCGGAAGCCGGGCGGGCGAGAGGGGAAGAGGAAAGCGACGGGAGCCUGAGAUCUUGGAGUGACAAGUAGUGUUAGUGGUACUGUUAGUACUAUUCUUCCCACAAAGGAGUCAUUCAAUAAAAGCAAAUAAUUUUGCCUCCAGGAGGCAAGAGGGUGCCCAGUACUUCAGAGUGAGAAACUCAUAGGGAAGUGGGGGUAAGACAGAGAGGGCUCCUUAAUGGAGAGAACAAAGGCCCACUUCUCUAAAGAUCUAGAUGACGGAGAACUAAACUUCCCUUCUCCUCCGAACGGGAUUAUCAAAGGGACCCACCAUGCCAGGAAUGAGGGGGGCCUCUGAAUUAGCUCCCAGGGAGCCACUGAAUUAUCCAGUGACUGCGCAUUCCUACUUUGGGAUCUCUGGGUCCAAACCAAACUGCUUCCUCUUUUAUUUAAGGUAUAAGUGGGAUAGAAAGCUUAGUCAUGGAACAGACCUGCUCUUUUUUUUUUUUUUUUUCUUUUUUUUUUUUUUAUUUUAUUUUUUUUUAUUUUUAUUUUUAUUUUUUUUUUUAUUUAAUAGCCUUUAAUUUACAGGAUAUAUAC